RNAcentral lists this ribosomal RNA (1423 nucleotides) under Vibrio vulnificus. RNAcentral's name for it is "partial 23S ribosomal RNA". It matches the Rfam family "Bacterial large subunit ribosomal RNA", at positions 1404 to 2812 of the family's 2925-position model. Lineage: Bacteria; Pseudomonadati; Pseudomonadota; Gammaproteobacteria; Vibrionales; Vibrionaceae. The record is from RNAcentral.
GAAAGGCGUAGUCGAUGGGAAACGGGUUAAUAUUCCCGUACUUCUUACAAUUGCGAUGGGGGGACGGAGAAGGCUAGGUGGGCCUGGCGACGGUUGUCCAGGUUCAAGUGCGUAGGCUGAGUGUUUAGGUAAAUCCGGAUACUCUUAAGGCUGAGACACGACGUCGAGCUACUACGGUAGUGAAGUCAUUGAUGCCAUGCUUCCAGGAAAAGCCUCUAAGCUUCAGAUUGUAAGGAAUCGUACCCCAAACCGACACAGGUGGUCGGGUAGAGAAUACCAAGGCGCUUGAGAGAACUCGGGUGAAGGAACUAGGCAAAAUGGUACCGUAACUUCGGGAGAAGGUACGCUCUUGAUGGUGAAGUCCCUUGCGGAUGGAGCUGACGAGAGUCGCAGAUACCAGGUGGCUGCAACUGUUUAUUAAAAACACAGCACUGUGCAAAAUCGUAAGAUGACGUAUACGGUGUGACGCCUGCCCGGUGCCGGAAGGUUAAUUGAUGGGGUUAGCGUAAGCGAAGCUCUUGAUCGAAGCCCCGGUAAACGGCGGCCGUAACUAUAACGGUCCUAAGGUAGCGAAAUUCCUUGUCGGGUAAGUUCCGACCUGCACGAAUGGCGUAAUGAUGGCCACGCUGUCUCCACCCGAGACUCAGUGAAAUUGAAAUCGCUGUGAAGAUGCAGUGUACCCGCGGCUAGACGGAAAGACCCCGUGAACCUUUACUACAGCUUGGCACUGAACAUUGAACCUACAUGUGUAGGAUAGGUGGGAGGCUUUGAAGACGUGACGCCAGUUGCGUUGGAGCCGUCCUUGAAAUACCACCCUUGUAUGUUUGAUGUUCUAACGUUGGCCCCUAAUCGGGGUUGCGGACAGUGCCUGGUGGGUAGUUUGACUGGGGCGGUCUCCUCCCAAAGAGUAACGGAGGAGCACGAAGGUGGGCUAAUCACGGUUGGACAUCGUGAGGUUAGUGCAAUGGCAUAAGCCCGCUUAACUGCGAGAAUGACGGUUCGAGCAGGUGCGAAAGCAGGUCAUAGUGAUCCGGUGGUUCUGAAUGGAAGGGCCAUCGCUCAACGGAUAAAAGGUACUCCGGGGAUAACAGGCUGAUACCGCCCAAGAGUUCAUAUCGACGGCGGUGUUUGGCACCUCGAUGUCGGCUCAUCACAUCCUGGGGCUGAAGUCGGUCCCAAGGGUAUGGCUGUUCGCCAUUUAAAGUGGUACGCGAGCUGGGUUUAGAACGUCGUGAGACAGUUCGGUCCCUAUCUGCCGUGGGCGUUGGAAGAUUGAAGGGGGCUGCUCCUAGUACGAGAGGACCGGAGUGGACGAACCUCUGGUGUUCGGGUUGUGUCGCCAGACGCAUUGCCCGGUAGCUAAGUUCGGAAUCGAUAACCGCUGAAAGCAUCUAAGCGGGAAGCGAGCCCUGAGAUGAGUCUU